GUCUAUGGCCAUGCCACCCUGAACAAGCCCGAUCCCACGUGAUCUCAGAAGCUAAGCAGGGUCGGGCCUGGUUAGUACUUGGAUGGGAGACCACCUAGGAAGACCAGGUGCUGUAGGUG
This 119-nucleotide ribosomal RNA is filed under the name Pteropus alecto (black flying fox). The record is from RNAcentral. Lineage: Eukaryota; Metazoa; Chordata; Mammalia; Chiroptera; Pteropodidae.